GAUGAAGAACGCAGCGAAAUGCGAUAAGUAAUGUGAAUUGCAGAAUUCAGUGAAUCAUCGAAUCUUUGAACGCAACUUGCGCUCCUUGGCAUUCCGAGGAGCAUGCCUGUUUGAGUGUCAUGAAACUAUCAAGCUACAAAUGUUCUUGUUAGCAUUUGUUGGUUUGGACAUUGGAUGCUUUGCUGGACAAUAUUGUACAGCUCAUCCGAAAUUUAUUAGCUGGUCUAAAUACCUUGGACUAUAUCCACUUGGCGUGAUAAGUAUCACCCGCUGAGGACUUGUUCAUUGGAGGUUGACUGCUUCUAGUAACCCAAUUAUAUUUGAAUCAUCUGACCUCAAAUCAGGUAGGACUACCCGCUGAACUUAAGCAUAUCAAUAAGCGGAGGA
This 387-nucleotide unclassified non-coding RNA is filed under the name soil metagenome. RNAcentral's name for it is "partial contains 5.8S ribosomal RNA, internal transcribed spacer 2, and large subunit ribosomal RNA". The stretch from base 1 to 120 matches the Rfam family "5.8S ribosomal RNA", at positions 35 to 154 of the family's 154-position model. The record is from RNAcentral.